This 427-nucleotide ribosomal RNA is filed under the name uncultured bacterium. RNAcentral describes it as "partial 16S ribosomal RNA". It matches the Rfam family "Bacterial small subunit ribosomal RNA", at positions 355 to 774 of the family's 1533-position model. The record is from RNAcentral.
UGGGGAAUAUUGCACAAUGGGCGCAAGCCUGAUGCAGCCAUGCCGCGUGUAUGAAGAAGGCCUUCGGGUUGUAAAGUACUUUCAGCGGGGAGGAAGGCGAUAAGGUUAAUAACCUUGUCGAUUGACGUUACCCGCAGAAGAAGCACCGGCUAACUCCGUGCCACCAGCCGCGGUAAUACGGAGGGUGCAAGCGUUAAUCGGAAUUACUGGGCGUAAAGCGCACGCAGGCGGUCUGUCAAGUCGGAUGUGAAAUCCCCGGGCUCAACCUGGGAACUGCAUUCGAAACUGGCAGGCUAGAGUCUUGUAGAGGGGGGUAGAAUUCCAGGUGUAGCGGUGAAAUGCGUAGAGAUCUGGAGGAAUACCGGUGGCGAAGGCGGCCCCCUGGACAAAGACUGACGCUCAGGUGCGAAAGCGUGGGGAGCAAACA